Pan troglodytes (chimpanzee) is the source of this 2192-nucleotide long non-coding RNA. RefSeq lists it as uncharacterized. NCBI's taxonomy places the organism in Eukaryota, Metazoa, Chordata, Mammalia, Primates, Hominidae. The transcript has 3 exons. The record is from RefSeq and is a predicted model, not a curated record.
GGAAGGCUUAAUUGGAGAGUGUCUGAUGCCUGAAGGACUUUCCUGGUUGACAACCUUGAAAAUGGUGAAAGAAAGAAAUUGAAACCAGAUCUCACUGAGUGGGAAGGCCUCACUGAGCUGACCUGUGAACAAAGACCUACAUGAAGUGAUAAGCAGAUAUCUGGGACAAGCAUUCCAGGCACAGGGAACAGCAUGUGCAAAACCCCGGAGACAAGAGUAUUCCUGGAGUGUGAAAGGACUACAAGUUCUCUGCUGUCAAAUGGAGAAAAACAAAAACAAGGGUCAGAGAGCUAUUUUUAUUGAAGAUCUCAAGAAGGACCAAGUCAUUCAUCAAGUGGAGCGGAUGUGGUCAGGAAAAAGGACUGGCCAGAGAAAAUCCAUCUGCAGAGCCUCAUCCUUAUUGGUCAUUUUUCCCCAAAAGACAUCCCAGGAUUCCUGUAUCCUCUGAAUGUGACCCAUCGCCACCUUCAUCAUCAGCCUCAUCAUCAUCAAUGUUUACUUAUUUUAACCAAUAGAUACACAAUAUAAAAUGCUUGGAUGAAGAAUAGCAUUUUUUGAACUCACCUUUAAUACAGAGAAGUAUGGAGAGGUUAAACAAAUAAAAGGAUAGGCUACAAUCUCAAUUUUGAUAAAUCAAUUUUUAAAAACCUGUCAAUGGUUAUAAAAUGCAAAUAUACAAAUAGGUAUAUUUGCAUAAUUUGUUUAUUUACUGUCUGAUUGAUGGACACAUCCUACUUAUUUAUUUUUUGGUAUUACACAUUUUAUUGCUAUGAAUAUCCUCAAAUGAACAACUUGGUGAACUUUUAGACAUAUACCCAUAAGUUAAAGUCCUAGCACUGGGUUGGUUGAGUUAAAGGCUGCAUGCAUAAAAAUCAUGGUAGGUCAUAGUUACCCUUUAUUGAACAACUAAUUUGGGCCAAGAAAAGUUUUAUAUGUUAUUUUUAAUCCUCACAACAAUCUUUCAAGGUCAUUGAUAGUAUUAGUGAUUACAGGUGAGGGUGAACUGAACUUCAGGGAGGAGGAGGCUGUUUUCACGAAUGCCUAUUAACCUCUGUAGGGAAGGCAUUAAGUUCAAGAGGCUGAAGAAGAGACCCAGAGCCAGAAAACAAGACUUGGGGUUUUAUUAGGGGAUCACAUGCAGGGGAGAGAGUCAAUGACAGUGGGCUGGACAAGAUAUCUGUAUGGUCUGGUGGCAGCAGGAUGGGUAGGAGAACCAAAGCUGCUUGCAAACAUCAUGCAGUUUAUACAGCAUUUUCACUAACACCCUCCCCUUAAUGACCUCCGCCUCGCAAUGUCCAUUAAGGCUCCGGGCCUCAAUCCUCUGUAUGGCCCGUGUCCCACGGGAUGGGCUGGGAGCUCAGAUGUUACUCAUAGACAAGGAAUAAAUCUCUGGAUUGGCCACUCCUGGAUUCCAUAGCUGGGAGCACACAUUCAGAUGCAUCUGUCAUACAGGGUCAUUCAAUCUACAGGGACCUCCCCCGACCCUAGGUAACAGAGCUGAAGAGUGGCUGAACUAGAAUUCAGUCCCGAGUCUUUCCAACUUGGAACUGACACAGUCAUCUGAAGGCUACAAACAACGUUGAAGAGACGAUCAUAAAGCUGGAGAAUCCUGGCCAUCUAUUAGUCCACACCUCACCCUUUCAGAUGUGGCAGGGAGACCCUGAGAAGCUUAGUGUCUUGCCAAAGGCUAUAGAGGUAAGAUGGGACCAGGACCCUGCCUCCCAGGACAGCGACCCUUACAGUACACUAGUGGUUUUGUAUGUCUGGGGCCACAGAAGCCCUUUUUCCAAAAAAGCUUGUGUACAACGGCUAAGCUCAGGUUGCUCUGCUUGAAUCAUGGGAGGAAGCCCCAGAGCCUGCUUCUGUCUUGUUUUCUACUUUUCUCUCUCCCAAGGCAUUUCUGGGGAGCACGGUUUGAAAAACACUCGUCUAUAGCACAGCUAUCUCUGUGUGUGGGGUCCAUCAUUCUUUCUAGUUGCUUUGAGCAAACACAAAACCUCUAACUUCUUUUUUUAAAAUGGAAGACUUGGGGGCCACCCUUUGUGCUGUGGUUUCUUUGGCCUUAUCCCAUUGUCCAGGGGAGGCAUUGGUGAUGGAGCUUGUUCAUUUUUCUUGUGCUCAUUGGAUAUGCGAUCACAGAAGAUGUAUCUAGGACUCUGGAAGUCAUAGAAACUCACUAUUAUUAGUCUGAG